Molecule: non-coding RNA, 8151 nt
Organism: Rattus norvegicus (Norway rat)
Lineage: Eukaryota; Metazoa; Chordata; Mammalia; Rodentia; Muridae
Source: RefSeq, a predicted model, not a curated record
AACCUCCAAAGGCUCAUGGGAGGGACCGAUUGAGAGUGCGCGUUCCCACCUGCCAGGUACUGAUCUCUGGGCACGCGCGCCUGUAGAGACUGCGAAAUCAAGAUUCUCGCACGGGUUAGACAGUAGUCUUCAGGCGUUGGACAGCGCUCCCAGGUACCCUAUGCCUUCUCUGUGUGUGGAGACAGACAGCUUAGAAGACAACAGAGGAACCAACGAAGACUAUUGCAAAAAAAAAGAACAUCUCCCAAAGCUGGGUCUGGUGGCUAACAUUUGAGAAGCUGAGGCAGGAAGAUUGCCUAAACUCAAAGACAACCUGGGCUACAGAGUAAAUUAUAGGCCAGUCUGGAUUGCAGAAUGAGACUAUAGGAAACAGACAAACAAAGAUGUGGGCUGCACUGGAGAAAGAUUUCCUGUUUAUGGAAAUCAGUUUGAGGAUGUUUAGACGGCUCAGCAGGUAAAGGUGCUUGCCACACUCAAGGCUAGCAGGCAAGCUCCAUUUAAGAUCCGGCUCCUACAGAGUUGUCCAUUAACCUCCGUGUAGUGCUGUAGCAUGAGCUCCUGCUCCCUCCGUGUGACACCUCACAUGCCUGCAAUCCCAGCACUCAUCAGACACAAGUAGGAAGAUCAGAAAUGAUCCUCUGCUGCGUAGUUCUAGGCCAACCUGGGCUACCUGAGGCAACAUGGCUGCUCAACUAGCCCAGUGUUAACACUGCCUUCUGACCUCCUUGUAGGACAGGCCUGAGGUAUGUCCAGGAUGGAGUGGCAGAGCCCACAGACAAGAUGAAGGGGAUAACCAGACAACAACUCUCAGGCAUGUCUGUUGGACCCCUGUGGGAUAGCAUGGGAACGUGCUUGGCCAGCUACCAGGGAAGGAAGCUUCCUCCCUGGAGAAGAAAACAAACAAACAUGCACUGGGAAAACCAUGCCAGGAUCACAAGCUCCACUAAGAAGAGUUUUCACCAGUCCUGAGAGACUUUCCCAGGUUACAAGUGUAGUGGCAGUCAUGAGCUGGUGUUAGGACUCUGCCUUUUGCAUGAUGUAUUUUUUUUCCUUUUGUUUCAAGACAGCUGUGCAGUUGUUACCGUACAGCUCUGCCCGGCCUGACCUGGCCUAAAUUUACUGUGUAGACUGGGCUGGCUUUGAACUCAUAGGGUCCUGCCUCCUGAGUGCUGGGAUUAAAGGCAUGUGCCACCACACCCAGCUAAGAUUUUUUUUUUUUUCCGGAGCUGGGGACCGAACCCAGGGCCUUGAGCUUGCUAAGCAAGUGCUCUACCACUGAGCUAAAUCCCCAACCCCCAAGAUUUAUUUAUUUUAUGUAUGUGAGUACACUGUCACUGUCUUCAGACACACCAGACGAGGGGAUCAGAUCCCAUUACAGAUGGUUGUGAGCCACCAUGUGGUUGCUGGGAUUUGAACUCAGGACCUCUGGAAGAGCAUUUAGUGCUCUUAACCGCUGAGCCAUCUCUCCAGCCCAUGCAAGAUAGUAUUUUUCUUACUGUAUAGUUUUUGUUUUGUUUUGUUUUGAGAUAAGGUCUCACGAUGUAGACCAGGCUAGCCUGGAAUUCUCUCCCAAGAGGUAGGACUAAAGGUGAGUGUGCCACUGUGCUAGGCAUUUUACUCAUUUAGACGAGGUCUUUCACUGAACCUGGAGCUCACCAGUUUGACUAGACUGGCUGGCCAGCAAGCCUCUCAGGCACCGGAAUUAUGGUUGAACACAGUUGCACCUGGGUUCGCUUUGUUGAUGUUUUUAAUUUAAAAAACAAAUGGGUGCUAAGGAGUCAGCUCUGGUCCUCAUGCACCAAGCACAUCGCUGUCUAGGCCAUCUCUCAGGCCCCUAUUUAUUUAGGUUUUGGAGACUGGAUUGUGUGCUGUAGUCCAGGCUGGCCCCAAAUGCACAAUCCUCCUGCCUCAGCCUCCUAAAUACCAGGAAAAUAGGCACAUGCCUGCAUGCCAAGCUUGUUUUUGAGACAGGCUGUAUAGCCCAGGCUAGACUCAAAUUCCAGGCCUCAAGCUGUCUUCCUGCUCAGCCCUGCAAGUAGCAAGGAUUACAUAUGCACCAUUGUGCCCAACAUCUUACUGGAUAUCUUGUUAUCUCUGUUAGGACGCCUGUGUCUUGAACUUCAUGCCAAAAAAAAAAACAAAAAACAAACCUGGUGCCAAUGGUACCAGCCCUGUCAUUCUAAAGUAGGAUGGGAUGACAUUUUUCCCUGCCACAGUGUUCCCAGUGUCCCCUCUACUGUGCCUCUCCUCCCAGGCAACACCCGAGUCUUGGUUGGUAAAGUUGAACAAACCUUCUCAUGGAGAAGAGAGUUUCUGGCAUCUGUCCUAGCCAGACUGGAAGACUGCCAGGAAAGGUCUGCCUGUGUCUUCUUCACCUGAAGUCAGAUUCUAGCAUUCCUCUCAUGCACCCCACAGCUGGAGAACGGGCCUUACACUUUCCUCUUGUAAAGACCUAAUAAUAGCAGGGACUAAUGGUGGCAACUGUUUGCAAUCCCCGUGCUUGGGAGGCUGGGGCAGGCAGAUGGCCACAGAUCUGAGCAGCCUGAGCUAUAGAAUGAGACUUAAAGGAAAAAAUGUGGGUGGGGUGAGGGUGCUUCCCGAUGACUCAAGUGAGUUAAGGUGCCAGCUGUUCUGCCUGAGGAGCUGAGUUCCAUCCCCAGGACCCACUUGGUGAGAGGAGAGAACUGACUUGCAAGUCCUCAUCUGACCUACAUACACACACUUAAAAAAAAAAAAAAGGUUAAAGAACAGUGCCCUGAAAAAAAAAUAAAUAAAUAAAAAAAUAAAAAAUAAAAUAAAAAAAGCUUGGGGGGUUGGGGAUUUAGCUCAGUGGUAGAGCGCUUGCCUAGGAAGCGCAAGGCCCUGGGUUCGGUCCCCAGCUCCGGGGGAAAAAAAAAAAAAAAAAAAAAAAAAACAGUGCCCUGCAAGCAGAACUGUGUCCCCAGAAGACACUGUUCUGUAAAAUUACCUAUGAAGUUGAGCUAGCCAGGGGCGGUGGCACAUCUCUUAAAUCCUAGUACUCGGGAGGCAGAGACAGAAGGAUCUCUAUGAGUUUGAGGUCAGCUUAGUCUACAUAGUGAGUCUAGGGCACCAAGAACUACAUUGGGAGAUUCUGCCUCAAAAUAUAACUAAUAAUUUUAAAAUAAAGUUGAGAUACAAUUGAUUCUGUAUGGAUGAUCUGAGUCCUGCCAAGACCAUGAUGCCAUACUGCAGCCCAUGAAACCUCUUCCCACACAUCAUGAGCCAGAGGAAGGUGGGAAUGGAUAGAUAGGAACCCAUAGGUGUUCGAGUCAAGGCUUAAGUCUCUUUGUCUGAUUUGGUUUUUUCUGUAGUAAGGUUUCUCUGCAUAGCCCUGGCCCCCAAAACUCACUCUACAAACCAGGCUGGCAUCGAACUCACAAAGAUCCACCUUCCUCUGCCUCCCAAGUGCUGAGAUGUGUUUGCCACCCCUGCCUGCCCUCAAGUCAAUAGCUUAAGUGACUGUACUUAAACAUGCUAUCUAUGUCAUAAGGUUGAGCCAUUGCAAGGACUGUCAUGUGUCCUUUCACUGAAGAAGAAGCACUAAAACAUCUAGGCAAUGUGGCAGGUAAUCCAACAGCUUCCAGGGCUUCCUUCAGAUGUUGGCAGAUCGUUUAAGCUCUCUGCUUUCUGGGCCUUAGUUCUUCCUCUGUGGUUCUAGGCGGAUAUUGGUACUACCUCACUCAUGGCCCAUUAGGAAGUGUUGUUUGACUCAUGAAUUUGCUUCCAAGAAAAAUAGUCUUGAGAGUGGUGGCCCGGACCUGGAAUCAGCACUUGGGGAUAGAUAGAUGACCAUGCAUUUGCAGCCAGCUUGAUCUGUACAGUGAGUUCCAAGACAGCCUGGACUAUCAAGAGGAGUCCAUAUCUCAAGAGAAAGAGCUGGGCAUAGCGCUGCCUUGGAGGGAUCUCUGGGAAAACCUGGUGUUACAGGCCAGCAAGGGGUACAUAAAGAGACCCCAGCUCAAAAAAAGGGGAGAGGGAUUAUACAUCUGGAAAGCCAGUGAAACACGUAAUUCCAGCCGACCAUGCUUCCUACUUGUCUCCAGGAGUGGAGCCCCUGGGACUAUUUACAGAGCGCAUCAACUGUUUCUGAAAUCCUCGACAUUUUACAUCUGUAUUUUUACUUUCUAUGUAUGAGUGUUUAGUCUGCAUGUGUGUAAGUGCACGUGUACCACAUCUGUGCCUAGUGUUCACAGAGGCUAGAAGAGGGUGUUGGAUUCCUUGGAACUGGAGUUAUAAAUGGUUAUGAGUCACCAUGUGGAACUGAAUCCAGGUCCUUUGUAAGAACAACAGGUGUGGGGUUGGGGAUUUAGCUCAGUGGUAGAGCGCUUGCCUAGGAAGCGCAAGGCCCUGGGUUCGGUUCCCAGCUCUGCAAAAAAAAAAAAAAAAGAACAACAGGUGUUCUUAGCCACCGAGCCAUCUCUCCAACACCUCAACAAUUUGUUUUUGAACAGGGUCUCCUUCAAUGGCUUCAAACUCACAACAAUCUACCUACCUGCCUUUGCCUCCAGAGUGCUGGGAUUAAAGGUGUUUACCACCAUGUCCAGAUGUCUCAGUCUUUAUAAUAAGCACAUAACACCAUGAAACCAAAAAAUAAGAUUUAAAAUCGUGACUGUGUGCAGAAUACACAGGAUGCACUAUCUGAAGGGGUUACUAUUAAUAACUGAAUGAUCUUGGCCCAGCCCCUUCUCCAGGGGCCUCCACGUCUUCAUUUGUAAGAUGCAGCUAGGUGGUCUGGCUUGCCUGCUGUGAGGUCCUGCAGCUUGACUCCCAGCACAGUGUCCCUGCCCUGCCCCCAGCCAGGCCCUCCAAAGCCUGGCUUCCUACCUCAGCUCCUCUAGUUUGCGCUGAGGACCCAGGGUCCCUCUGUUCCCUCCUGGCGUGUAGGCCGCCAGACACCGGGCCACCUGCUGCUGCACUUGCUGCUCCCGAGCCCUGCGCAUCUCCGCCUGCUGCUUCUCCUUCAGCUGCUGCUGUUCCCAGGCCUGCAGCAGGUUUCUGGUGAGAAAGGGGGGAUGUCCAUGGGGAUCAGGAGCUCGAGGAAGGCCAAGGUAGCAUGGAGGAGCAUGUGGUCCAGAGGUGAGGGACUGUGGGAAGAAGUACGUGUCUCUAAGAGCCCAAGUCCUGGGAAAUAAAUGGCAUUUGUCAUGGAAGCAGGUUUUAUGCAGCAACCAGCCUUAGGCCUGUCCCUACUUACUACUCAGGUUCCUUGUUUGUUUGUUUGGUUUGGUUUUUUGUUUGUUGUUUGGUUGGUUUAGUUGUUGUUGUUGUUUGUUUGUUUUGUUUUGAGACAGAGCUUCUCUGUGUAGCCCUAGCUGGACUGGAACUCUUCUGUAGACCAGGUUGGCCUCAAACUCAGAUUCACCUUAUUCUGCCUCUUGAGUGCUGAGAGCAAAGGCAUGCGCCACCGCCUCCCAGCUGAUGGCCAGGUCUUAACGUUGGGCCCAGGCCUCCUGAAUGUCUAGAGCGCAGCCUAGGACUGCGGAGCCCCGAGGAGCUCAGUGCACAGCCUGGGACCCUUUGCACUGCUCACAUUCCCUUCCCAGCAGCUGGCUGUGAGGAAAGCCAGACCUCUAACCACUCUACUUUAGUGCCUAACAGGAUGAGGAUGAGACACAUUCAGACAGACAGUCAGACAGAUAAAUGUGUGGGAAAGAAUUAAAAGGUUAGAGAACUUCAUCUAUGAAAGAAGAGGUGGGCAAGGGUGGGUAACUGAACAGCAACUAGACAAACCUGGGAUACUCUCCCCCAGAUGCCAUGGUUCAUCGGUCACCUGUUGAAAUGUCAUUUCUCACAGAGAGACAUUCCCUGGCUACCCCACCUCCUUUUUAGGGACCCCCAUCUCUAGCUACAUACUUUGUUCAUUUCACCUCUUUUGUAUCCCUGGCUGGCCUCAAACGCUCCAUGUAGCUGAGAAUGACCUGAAACUUGACUCCUACCCUGACCUGCAAGGUGCUGGGAUUACAAACUGCACCACCACACUGGACUUUAAAUCUUCUUAACAGAAAGAAGAACUGGAAAUAUCACAUGCCCUGAUUUCCUAAACCAUCAAUCAGUAAUCAGAACAUGACACUGAGGUAAAAAUGCAGACGAUGGACUAACAGGCCAGAAUGCAAAGCUCAAACAGCACAUUGAUUUUCCAGAGGGAAAGGAAGGUUUCCUCAUAAGUGUGUGGGAAAACUGGCUAUCUCUGUUAAAAGAAUUACAGUAGACUAUUGUUCCAUACAACAUGCCAACACCAACUCAAGUGGGCAAAGCAUUUAAACUGAAAACCUGAAACUAAAAGUUCUCACAGAGCUCACGUGGUGACACAUGCUUAGUUCCAGCCCUCACAAGGCAAAGGCAGGCAGAUCUCUCUGAAUUCAAGACCAGCCUGGUGUACAGAGUGAAUUCCUAGACAGCCAGGACUGCACAGAGAAACCUUAUCUCAAAAGAACAACAGAAAAGUGAUCGAAAUGAAAGGGGAACUCCACGAUGUUGGACUGGACAGUGAUUUCUUUUUUCUUUUUUUCGGAGCUGGGGACCGAACCCAGGGCCUAGCAAGCGCUCUACCACUGAGCUAAAUCCCCAACCCCAUGAUUUUUUUUUUUAGUAUUUUUGGUAUAUAUGUAGGAAAUUAAGUCUCUACAUAGCAAAGGAAACAAAGAACAUCUGCAAACAAAACACUAAAAACAGGUAACAGCUGACCUCAACACCAGUAAGAAAAUACAAAUUGAAAAUGGCGACUGGGAGGUGGGAGGCAGUUAAAAGCCUGGCCACACCCGCCUGAGUUCAAGCCUUAGGGCCCAAGAAAAAGCCAGGUGUGGAUUUGCACAUCUAUAAUCCCAGCGCUCCUAUGUGAGAAGUGUGGCAAAGACAGGUUUGACUCACAGGCCAGGGAGCCUAUAGUACACAGAAUUCUGGCAGAAAUGAGACACCUUUCCUCAAAGUGGUGGAAGAAAACCAACUCCUGCCAUUAUACAUAACGAUGCCCAUACUCACACAAAAUACAUUUAAAAAAGAAAAUGGUCAACAGAUCAGGCAUGGUGAUACAAACCUGUAAUCCUGAGACCUGGGAGGCUGAGGCAGGAGGAUUACAGAAAGUUCAGUGCCAGUUAGUACAUACAUAGCAAGUACCAGACAUGGUAGUUCUAGUUAAAUAGCAAGGAUUUUCCUAAACAAAACAACCAACAAAAGAUAGCCGCUGUCGAUAAGGGUAUGGAGAAGCUGGGCCCUUAUACAUAGUGGGAAUAUAAAAACGGGCUGGCAAGAUGGCUCGGGGCUUUAGAGCACUUGUUGCUCUUCUAGAGACCCAGGUUCAAUUCCAGUACCCACAUGAGGUCACAGCCAUCUGCAACUCCAGUUCAAGGGAACAAAUGCCUUCUUCUGACCUCCCUGUGUAUGAAGCACGAUCAUGAUGCAUACACCAGACAUUCACGUGGUGCACAGACAUACAUGUAGCUAAAACAACUAUACACAUAAAAUCAAAAUAAUCUGAGUAUGGUGGUACAUGACUUUGAUCCCAGCACUAGAGAGGCAGAGACAGACAGAUCUCUGUGAGUUUGAGUUUGAGGACAGCCUGGUCUACAAAGUGAGUUCCAGGACAGCCAGGACUACAAAGAGAAACCCUGUCUAAAAAAAAAAAGAAAAGAAAGAAAGAAAAGAGAAAAGGAAUCUGAUAACCAAGGGUGGUGGUGCAGGGCUGUAAGCCCAGUACCUGCACAGAAACAGAGUCAGAAUUCAAGGUUGUUGGAGAUUGCUUUGAUUCAAUCAGGAAUCUUCAUGUCCAGACAUUGAAGGUUCUUUUCCCCAAUUGGUUUUUGAUUGAUCAAUAAAAAUGCCAAUGGCGGGGUUGGGGAUUUAGCUCAGUGGUAGAGCGCUUGCCUAGCAAGCGCAAGGCCCUGGGUUCGGUCCCCAGCUCCGAAAAACAGAAAAAAGAAAAAGAAGAAAAAAAAAUGCCAAUGGCCAGGCUGGAGAGGUGGCUCAGCGGUUAGGAGCACUGACUGCUCUUCCAGAGGUCCUGAGUUCAAUUCCCAGCAACCACGUGAUGGCUCACAACCAUCUGUAAUGGGAUCUGAUGCCCUCUUCUGGUGUGUCUGAGAAACAACUAUAGUGUACUUAUAUACAAAGUAAAUAAAUAAAACUUCAAAAAAA